Molecule: non-coding RNA, 74 nt
Organism: Potamilus streckersoni
Lineage: Eukaryota; Metazoa; Mollusca; Bivalvia; Unionida; Unionidae
Source: the annotation of a GenBank genome assembly
GUUGUGGUUGCUCUGUGGUCAAGGCAUUGGACUAGUGAUCCAAAGGUUGUUGGUUCAAUUCCCAAUUUGGAUCG